AACCCCCUAACACUUAGCACUCAUCGUUUACGGCGUGGACUACCAGGGUAUCUAAUCCUGUUCGCUCCCCACGCUUUCGCUCCUCAGCGUCAGUUACAGACCAGAGAGUCGCCUUCGCCACUGGUGUUCCUCCACAUCUCUACGCAUUUCACCGCUACACGUGGAAUUCCACUCUCCUCUUCUGCACUCAAGUUUCCCAGUUUCCAAUGACCCUCCCCGGUUGAGCCGGGGGCUUUCACAUCAGACUUAAGAAACCGCCUGCGAGCCCUUUACGCCCAAUARUUCCGGACAACGCUUGCCACCUACGUAUUACCGCGGCUGCUGGCACGUAGUUAGCCGUGGCUUUCUGGUUAGGUACCGUCAAGGUGCAAGCAGUUACUCUUGCACUUGUUCUUCCCUAACAACAGAGCUUUACGAUCCGRAAACCUUCAUCACUCACGSGGCGUUGCUCCGUCAGACUUUCGUCCAUUGCGGAAGAUUCCCUACUGCUGCCUCCCGUAGAGUCUGGGCCGUGUCUCAGUCCCAGUGUGGCCGAUCACCCUCUCAGGUCGGCUACGGAUCGUCGCCUUGGUGAGCCGUUACCUCACCAACUAGCUAAUGCGCCGCGGGUCCAUCUGUAAGUGACAGCCGAAACCGUCUUU
This 641-nucleotide ribosomal RNA is filed under the name Bacillus subtilis. Its description in RNAcentral is "partial 16S ribosomal RNA". The record is from RNAcentral. Lineage: Bacteria; Bacillati; Bacillota; Bacilli; Caryophanales; Bacillaceae.